Molecule: ribosomal RNA, 909 nt
Filed under: Brettanomyces custersianus
Lineage: Eukaryota; Fungi; Ascomycota; Pichiomycetes; Pichiales; Pichiaceae
Description: SSU rRNA
Rfam family: Eukaryotic small subunit ribosomal RNA
Source: RNAcentral
AAAAGUUAUUGUUUAUUUGAUAGUUGUUACUACAUGGAUAACCGUGGUAAUUCUGUGGCUAAUACAUGCCACUAAAACCCCGACUUUAUUGGAGGGGUGUAUUUAUUAGAUAAAAAAUCAAUGCCUUCGGGCCGUUUGAUGAAUCAUAAUAACUUCUCGAAGCCCAUGGCCUUGUGCCGGGGCUGGUUCAUUCAAAUUUCUGCCCUAUCAAGUUGUAUGUAGGAUAGAGGCCUACGUAGCUAGUUACGGGUGACGGGAAUUCGGGUUCGGUUCCGGAGAAAGGAGCCUUAAAAACGGCUACUACAUCCAAGGAAGGCAGCAGGCGCGUAAAUUACCCAAUCCUGACACAGGGAGGUAGUGACAAUAUAUAACGAUACAGGGCCCUUAAGGGUCUUGUAAUUGGAAUGAGUACAAUGUAAAUACCUUAACGAGGAACAAUUGGAGGGCAAGUCUGGUGCCAGCAGCCGCGGUAAUUCCAGCUCCAAUAGUGUAUAUUAAAGUUGUUGCAGUUAAAAAGCUCGUAGUUGAACCUUGGGCCUGGCAGGCGUGUCCGCCAUCUGGCGAGUACUAGUCGGCCGGGCCUUUCCUUCUGGCUAGUCGCAAGACGAACCGGGAUUUUUACUUUGAAAAAAUUAGAGUGUUCAAAGCAGGCCUUUGCUCGAAUAUAUUAGCAUGGUUUUAAUAGAAUAGGACGUUAUGGUUCUAUUAUGUUGGUUUCUAGGACCAUCGUAAUGAUUAAUAGGGACGGUCGGGGGCAUCAGUAUUCAGUUGUCAGAGGUGAAAUUCUUGGAUUUACUGAAGACUAACUACUGCGAAAGCAUUUGCCAAGGACGUUUUCAUUAAUCAAGAACGAAAGUUAGGGGAUCGAAGAUGAUCAGAUCGUCGUAGUCUUAACCAUAAACUAUGCCG